Spinacia oleracea (spinach) is the source of this 2506-nucleotide long non-coding RNA. RefSeq lists it as uncharacterized. The record is from RefSeq and is a predicted model, not a curated record. NCBI's taxonomy places the organism in Eukaryota, Viridiplantae, Streptophyta, Magnoliopsida, Caryophyllales, Amaranthaceae. The transcript is spliced from 2 exons.
CGCGGGCUCAUUUUACAAACGCAGCACAAAAUAUUUCUCGAAAAGAUUUCAUUUGCCGCCUAUCUCUCCUUCCUCCUCUCAGGUUAGUGCUUUCCCCUAAAUUCAUUUUCUCGCUUCUCUCCUUCCCAGCUUCCCCUCUUCGGUUUCUCUCUCUCCUUCCCCUCUCCGGUUCGCCGCUGCUCUUCCUCUCCUUGCUGCGUCCCUCCUCUACCGCUUGUACAACCGCCUGCCGGAUUGGUUUCCUCGUUGGUUUGUAUUUCCUAACCCUAUUUUUAUUGAUUUAAUUUUCUGAAUAAUAAUUUGAUUUAUUGAUUUUCUCACCAAAUAUUCAGUUCAAUUGUGUAUUUAAUUAUGUUAAAAUUUGGUAAUUGGAGUUGUUUGGCUACACUACUAAUAACAUUGUUACCAAAAUAAUUUGGUGUAUGAUAGAUUUUUGGGAUUACUGUUGUUACUAGAAGUAUGAGAUGUGAAUUUGUUAAUAAUAAUAUUUAAAUUUGUUUUGGAGCCCAGUAAGAUUAAGAUGAAGGCGGAAAAUGUUGAUAUUUGUUACCCUCAAAUUAUCCAGAGUGGUGGUAAGUUUGAUUUGAGGCCGAGUGCAUCAAGUAAUGAUGAUUUGUUGUAUUUUGAUCCAGGUAGUGUGAUUAUUUGUGCUAUUAGAUCUAGGUAUAACAUUUAUUGUUAAAAUAUAGCAAGAACUAUUCUGAUUGAUGCUAAUCAAAAUCAGAGUGAGGCCUAUGAGGUGUUGCAUAAGGCGCAUGAUGCGGCCAUUGCUGCCAUGAAGCCUGGGAAUAAAGCCCGCGUUGUGUAUGUGAUGGAGAGAGAAACCAGAAUUGGUGAAGAAUUUGAUAAGUCAGCUGGCACUGGUAUUGGGCUUGAAUUUAGGGAAACGGGUCUGAACUUGAAUUCCAAGAAUGAGAAAGAGUUGAAACCAGGGAUGGUAUUUAAUGUUGUUUUAGGGUUUCAGAACUUGACAACCCAGGCCAGUAAUCCGAAAAGCCAGAACUUUUCUCUGCUUUUAGCUGAUACUGUCAUUGUUGCGGAGAAGGGCCCAGAAAUCACAACCGCAUUGAGCUCUAAGUUGCUAUGAAUUAGCUUUACCUCAGUCAGGAGCUUGAACUAGAUUGUUUCUAUCUGUCUCCACUGGUAUACUUGUUAGUCUUCUCCUUUUAACGUGCUGUAACUGCUAGAGCUUUAGCCUGCAAAACACUAUGAGCCCCAACACGUUCUUUUCCCUCAUACCUCUCCUCCUUUGUACAGAUUAAAACCCAUCCAAUUGCAGCCACAUUAUUUCCUUCUCCUCUGCUUUUUUCCAGGCACCAUCUGCAAUAAGAAAGUCAGUUGUUGGAUUAUCUUGGCCUGCCAGCCAUAUCACUUUUUCCUAUAAAUUGUUCUGAAUAUCAGCUACUCUCACAUGCCUUGUUUUGAAAGAUUGUUAUCUUCAUUCUCCUCAUUAUUACCAACCUGAUAUGCAUAGAAAAAUUUAACAGAACACUUCCCAUUUGAUAACACAACCCAAUGGAACUGAUCUUCAUCAUCACAUCAUGGGAUAUGAGUAUUAAGGAUUUCCCUUGCUCUUUUCUUACAUAAGGUAUUCCAGAUUGGUGUAUUCCAGGCUCUCGAGUCAGUACAAAAAAGCUCAUUUACCUUUAUUACCCUUUGUUUAUUCUGGACAUGAUUUCUUUUAUAAAAGAAUUCCCUAGAUGGUAACCACACUAUGGAGCCAAAAUUCAUGUUUCCAAUAAAAGCUUAAUUAAUGUGCUCAAUUUUUAUGAGAGAAUGGUAUACGGAGUAAAAAAGUUACCAAAGUUUUUUUAAAAAGAAAAAAUGAUGUCAAAAGUAAUUUAAGCGGGAUUUUUUUUCUUAAGAAAUUGACACGUGUACAAAAUGAUGUCAUCGGUAUUUCCUUUAGUUGUAGUUAUAGAUUAUAUGGUCUAUUUGAUCUCUAAAUGAGUCUUACAAGGUUGGGUAUUGAUCAUCAUAGGUUUUCUUAGCUUUAGAAUACAGUCAAGACGUGGUUGAAUUUUCCAUAUUGUAUACAGGUGCUCCCUUGCCGAGUUUUCUGCACCCAUGUAAGCCUUUUGUUAUUUUUUGUGCGAUAUAUGGAGUGGUUUGAAUGAAAAUGUUGUCUGGUUCCAGAAUUUUGUUAAGAGUAAGCUAGGUUGUAGUUUUUGGAUUGCUACAUUACACUAACAAGAUUCUUCUGCGCAAAAGAAUCUAGUAUUUAAACUUAAAGGAUAUUGCCUACUCAUUUUAUGAGGAAGAAGAAGAGGAGCCACCGUGGGUAUUCAAUAAUCCGAGGGAGCGGCCGUUCACCUUUGAGGAGAUAGACGAAGUUCGAGAAAUGUUGGCAAACUUCAUUACCAUGUCUUUGAUAUUUUCUUGUACCGAAUCUUAAAUUAUGGAUGCUAGCUAGUUUUUCAUAAGAUUGUAAUGUAAUCGAAUUUUAUAUUUAAAAUUAUAUACUAUUUAAUUUAAUUAUCUAUAUAAUUAGAUACUUUUUAUAUAA